CGAACGGAAUGAAAGCCUCCGUGUCGCGCUUCCUGCCUCGGCGCCCCGGCCUGGGGGGGGCCAUGUGGGCUCCCCGGGGCUCCUCGCUGUGGCGGGUUCCCCAGCGCCGGGCAGUGGGACGUGGGGAGCGGAGGAGAGGUGCACGUGGAGGGCGCCGGGCCAGCCCUGCGCUCCGUAGGACGCACCCUGCCCCGGGGCCGUCCAUCCUACGCUCCCACCCCGUGCCCUCACCACGGAGAGAGCCAGCAGAGGUCACCCGCCGGGCCUGCUCUCGUGCGAAGCACCCCCAUGUACGCGCCCCCGCAGGAAGACUCGGGCUCACCUGCCUGCAGGAGCCCGGCCUCUCUGUGCACCCCGGCCCCCUCCAGGUGCAGCUCAGACCCGCAUGGCUUUCUCCUGCCUUCGACGCCUCACGAAGCCCACAGCAGCCUCCUGAGACUCCAGGAGCCUUGCACACCCGGGGCUUACCCUUGACACAGCUCUCCGCGAAGGGGAGGCUUUCGUUUGGCUGUGGUCAGGGGGCCGGAGUACUGAUCUGGAGGAGGACGGGGCAGGCACAGAGGCGCUUGUUAGGAACGGUGAGGAGGAACGCACUGAGCUCCAGGGCAAGCAGCAGAAGCGCUGGUUGAGAAGCGUCCACUGACAGGGAGCAGGGCAGCAGCGAUGUGCUCAAUCCGUCAUGGAAAAACAGAGUGAGUGCCGGGAUUUCUCUGAGAAGCACCAGGGCACAAGACUGUCAUGAACAGAGUACUGACUCUGAAGAACGAUAACGUGGUCUCUCGAUUCUGGAGGGUUACGCGGUGCAGGAAAAAUUAAGUGACAUUAGACAGAUUUUUCAUCAAAACUGUCCCUGAAGGAGACCUCCCUGCUGUCCUCGUGGAGGACGAUUCUUCCUGCAAGCAACCUCCUCCCCACCCACCUUCCUGUCCUCAGCGAGAAGUCACCUCAAGCAAAUUAGAGUUCUCUCUUCAUACCACACUGUCCUGCAUUGGAACGUACUUCGUUUCAUAUUUCUGUGUUAAAAAAUGCAUAUGGCUCAGAAUAAUCAACCUCACUUACACUGAACUUCUGGCCCCUUGAUGAGUUGAGAAGCUGACUUGGGAGUUUAUCUCUCAUUUCUAUCGUUGGCCAAAAAUAAAGUUCUUUCCUA
RNAcentral lists this long non-coding RNA (1150 nucleotides) under Cavia porcellus (domestic guinea pig). Its description in RNAcentral is "lncRNA (ENSCPOG00000040285.1)". Lineage: Eukaryota; Metazoa; Chordata; Mammalia; Rodentia; Caviidae. The record is from RNAcentral.